Magnolia sinica is the source of this 239-nucleotide long non-coding RNA. RefSeq lists it as uncharacterized. NCBI's taxonomy places the organism in Eukaryota, Viridiplantae, Streptophyta, Magnoliopsida, Magnoliales, Magnoliaceae. The record is from RefSeq and is a predicted model, not a curated record. The transcript has 2 exons.
UUUUCAAUAUCUCUAUAGAUAUAGACUUUUUUUUUUGUGGUAUAGCCCACGUGGGGCCCACUGAGGUGUGUGAAAGGGUGGAUUUGCAUUGUUUUCUAUGGUAUGGCCCACGUGGGGCCCAUUGAGGUGCGUGAAGGGGUGGAUUUGCAUUGUUUUCUAUGGUGGGCCCAUUGUCGUGUGUGUAUGUGUGCAUUGUUUUUUAUUGUGCUAUUUAAUAUUUAUCAUAUAUAUAUAUAUAU